UAGAGUUUGAUCAUGGCUCAGGAUGAACGCUAGCGGGAGGCCUAACACAUGCAAGCCGAGCGGUAGAGUCUCUUCGGAGACUUGAGAGCGGCGCACGGGUGCGGAACACGUGUGCAACCUGCCUUUAUCUGGGGGAUAGCCUUUCGAAAGGAAGAUUAAUACCCCAUAAUAUAUUUCAAGGCAUCUUGAGAUAUUGAAAACUCCGGUGGAUAAAGAUGGGCACGCGCAAGAUUAGAUAGUUGGUGGGGUAACGGCCUACCAAGUCAAUGAUCUUUAGGGGGCCUGAGAGGGUGAUCCCCCACACUGGUACUGAGACACGGACCAGACUCCUACGGGAGGCAGCAGUGAGGAAUAUUGGACAAUGGGUGAGAGCCUGAUCCAGCCAUCCCGCGUGAAGGACGACGGCCCUAUGGGUUGUAAACUUCUUUUGUACAGGGAUAAACCUUUCCACGUGUGGAAAGCUGAAGGUACUGUACGAAUAAGCACCGGCUAACUCCGUGCCAGCAGCCGCGGUAAUACGGAGGGUGCAAGCGUUAUCCGGAUUUAUUGGGUUUAAAGGGUCCGUAGGCGGAUCAGUAAGUCAGUGGUGAAAUCUCAUAGCUCAACUAUGAAACUGCCAUUGAUACUGCUGGUCUUGAGUAAGGUAGAAGUAGCUGGAAUAAGUAGUGUAGCGGUGAAAUGCAUAGAUAUUACUUAGAACACCAAUUGCGAAGGCAGGUUACUAUGUCUUAACUGACGCUGAUGGACGAAAGC
Molecule: ribosomal RNA, 753 nt
Filed under: Chryseobacterium defluvii
Lineage: Bacteria; Pseudomonadati; Bacteroidota; Flavobacteriia; Flavobacteriales; Weeksellaceae
Description: bacterial SSU rRNA
Rfam family: Bacterial small subunit ribosomal RNA
Source: RNAcentral